AACGUUGCCAACGAAAAGUGAAAAAGCCAAAAACAUAGUACGUUACCCGGAAAGAGUUUGAGGAAUGCAAGGUCAUGGUUGAUCGAAGGUUCGCAAACAUUGAAGCGGAGUUGAGAGACUUCAAAGUAGAAGUUAGAGAAACUUUUAAAGUUGUGCUUCAGAGCCUUCAAGCCAUCAACGAACGUUUAGAUAGGUUUGAAUACAAGAAAUAACAUUUCUUCAACAGAAAACGCC
Molecule: small RNA, 234 nt
Filed under: Mycoplasmoides pneumoniae M129
Lineage: Bacteria; Bacillati; Mycoplasmatota; Mycoplasmoidales; Mycoplasmoidaceae
Description: Mycoplasma pneumoniae M129 ncRNA
Source: RNAcentral